CAGCUAUUCAGGAUCUUUCCCU
RNAcentral lists this microRNA (22 nucleotides) under Schmidtea mediterranea. RNAcentral describes it as "sme-miR-31b-1-3p". Its record names the gene sme-miR-31b-1-3p. Lineage: Eukaryota; Metazoa; Platyhelminthes; Tricladida; Dugesiidae. The record is from miRBase by way of RNAcentral.